RNAcentral lists this ribosomal RNA (460 nucleotides) under uncultured bacterium. Its description in RNAcentral is "partial 16S ribosomal RNA". It matches the Rfam family "Bacterial small subunit ribosomal RNA", at positions 338 to 795 of the family's 1533-position model. The record is from RNAcentral.
CCUACGGGAGGCAGCAGUGAGGAAUAUUGGUCAAUGGGCGCGAGCCUGAACCAGCCAAGUCGCGUGAAGGAUGACUGCCCUACGGGUUGUAAACUUCUUUUAUAAAGGAAUAAAGUGAGGCACGUGUGCCUUUUUGUAUGUACUUUAUGAAUAAGCAUCGGCUAACUCCGUGCCAGCAGCCGCGGUAUUACGGAGGAUCCGAGCGUUAUCCGGAUUUAUUGGGUUUAAAGGGAGCGUAGAUGGGUUGUUAAGUCAGUUGUGAAAGUUUGGGGCUCAACCGUAAAAUUGCAAUUGAUACUGGCAUUCUUGAGUACAGUUGAGGUAGGCGGAAUUCGGGGUGUAGCGGUGAAAUGCUUAGAUAUCACGAAGAACACCGAUGGCGAAGGCAGAUUGCUAAACUGCCACUGACAUUGAUGCGCGAAAGUGUGGGUAGCAAACAGGAUUAGAUACCCGAGUAGUC